UGUGAAAAUCUGAGGCUCAACCUCAGACCUGCAGUCGAUACGGGCAAACUAGAGUGUGGUAGGGGAGACUGGAAUUCCUGGUGUAGCGGUGGAAUGCGCAGAUAUCAGGAGGAACACCAAUGGCGAAGGCAGGUCUCUGGGCCAUAACUGACACUGAGGAGCGAAAGUGCGGGGAGCGAACAGGAUUAGAUACCCUGGUAGUCCGCACCGUAAACGGUGGGCACUAGUUGUGGGAACCUUCCACGGUUUCCGCGACGCAGCAAACGCAUUAAGUGCCCCGCCUGGGGAGUACGAUCGCAAGAUUAAAACUCAAAGGAAUUGACGGGGCCCCGCACAAGCAGCGGAGCAUGCGGCUUAAUUCGACGCAACGCGAAGAACCUUACCAAGGCUUGACAUAUAGCGAAAAGUGGCAGAGAUGUCAUGUCCGCAAGGGCGCUAUACAGGUGGUGCUUGGUUGUCGUCAGCUCGUGUCGUGAGAUGUUGGGUUAAGUCCCGCAACGAGCGCAACCCUCGUUCUGUGUUACCAGCAUUUAGUUGGGGACUCACAGGAGACUGCCGGGGUCAACUCGGAGGAAGGUGGGGAUGACGUCAAAUCAUCAUGCCCCUUAUGUCUUGGGCUGCACGCAUGCUACAAUGGCCGGUACAAAGUGCUGCGAGAUCGUAAGAUUGAGCGAAUCACAUAAAGCCGGUCUCAGUCCGGAUUGAGGUCUGCAACUCGA
RNAcentral lists this ribosomal RNA (719 nucleotides) under uncultured bacterium. RNAcentral's name for it is "bacterial SSU rRNA". It matches the Rfam family "Bacterial small subunit ribosomal RNA", at positions 593 to 1315 of the family's 1533-position model. The record is from RNAcentral.